RNAcentral lists this long non-coding RNA (569 nucleotides) under Cricetulus griseus (Chinese hamster). RNAcentral describes it as "lncRNA (ENSCGRG00015034506.1)". Lineage: Eukaryota; Metazoa; Chordata; Mammalia; Rodentia; Cricetidae. The record is from RNAcentral.
UUGAAAGAAGCCCCCCCACACACACACACACAAAGGAGUGGCACUAGUAAGAGGUGAGGCUUUAUUGGAGUAGGAAUGGCUUGUUGGAAGGAAUUGUGUCACUGUGGGGCAGACUUUGGGUCUCAAGGUUCCCUCAGUGAGUUGACUUCCUGUUCCCUGCAAGAUGUAGGACUCUCAGCUGCUCCUCUGCCUGCAUGCCGCCAUGUUCCCCUCAUGAUGAUAAUGGAGUGAACCUCUGAAGCUGUUACCCUGCUCGGACACCCCUUGGGAGAGGGGGUGAGAAGAUGCAGCACCAAAGACCCAGGCACUGACAAUCAGAUAAAACUCCCCGAAUUACAUCUGGACACACAAACAACAGGGCAGAAGAAGCUUCCCCAGCCCCCCUUGCACAUCAUCGUCAUGUGACAAGGUUCUGGCCAAUAGGAUAUGACUGGAAAGUUUGUAGCCAAGUUGUGGACACUCUCUGCUGUCUGGCUUCCUCCUUCUGGGUGGCAUGAAGGUCUGGUGGUGUGAUCUAAGGAAGUCCUUGUUGCUUGAGGGGACCAAGUGGUUCUCCAGCUGUCAGCCUC